UUCCGGUUGAUCCUGCCGGACCUGACUGCUAUCGGAGCGAGAUUAAGCCAUGCAAGUCGAACGUUCUUCAACUGCGGAGAGCGUGGCGUACUGCUCAGUAACACGUUGCCAACCUACCUUCGGGACACGGAUAACCCCGGGAAACUGGGACUAAUCCGCGAUAGAUCAGGAUGCCUGGAAUGGCUUUUGAUUGAAAAGGGUGGGCGAGUUUGUUUCGCUCAUUUGCCCGAGGAUGGGGCUGCGGCCGAUCAGGUUGUUGGUGGGGUAAUGGCCCACCAAGCCUGUAACCGGUACGGGCUUUGAGAGAAGUAGCCCGGAGAUGGACACUGGGACAAGGGUCCAGGCCCUACGGGGCGCAGCAGGCGCGAAACCUUCGCAAUGCGCGAAAGCGCGACGAGGUUACUCUGAGUGCCACCUGCUGAAGGUGGCUUUUCUUAGGCGCAAAUAACUAGGGAAUGAGGGGGAGGGCAAGCCUGGUGUCAGCCGCCGCGGUAAUACCAGCUCCCCGAGUGGUCAGGGUGUUUAUUGGGCCUAAAGCAUCCAUAGCCGGCUCUGUAGGUCCUCUGUUAAAUCCAACGGCUCAACCGUUGGGCUGCAGGGGAUACCGCAGGGCUAGGAGGCGGGAGAGGCGGACGGUAUUCCAUGGGUAGGGGCAAAAUCCUCUGAUCCACGGAGGACCACCAGUGGCGAAGGCGGUCCGCCAGAACGCGCUCGACGGUGAGGGAUGAAAGCUGGGGGAGCAAACCGGAUUAGAUACCCGGGUAGUCCCAGCUGUAAACGAUGCGAGCUAGGUGAUGGAGUGGCUGAGGGCCAUUCCAGUGCCGCAGGAGCCGUAAGCUCGCGCCUGGGGAGUACAGUCGCAGACCGAACUUAAGAUGCGGGGGAGCACACAGGGUGAGGCUGCGUCAUGACUCACGCGG
RNAcentral lists this ribosomal RNA (920 nucleotides) under uncultured archaeon. RNAcentral describes it as "bacterial SSU rRNA". It matches the Rfam family "Archaeal small subunit ribosomal RNA", at positions 1 to 1179 of the family's 1478-position model. The record is from RNAcentral.